UACGUAGGCAGCAAACGUUGUUCGGAAUUACUGGGCGUAAAGAGUGUGUAGGCGGUUCUGUAAGUUUGGUGUGAAAUCUCCCGGCUUAACUGGGAGGGUGCGCCGAAAACUGCAAAGCUUGAGUGCUGGAGAGGAUAGCGGAAUUCCUGGUGUAGCGGUGAAAUGCGUAGAUAUCAGGAGGAACACCGGCGGUGUAGACGGCUAUCUGGACAGCAACUGACGCUGAGACACGAAAGCGUGGGGAGCAAACAGG
RNAcentral lists this ribosomal RNA (253 nucleotides) under uncultured bacterium. RNAcentral's name for it is "partial 16S ribosomal RNA". It matches the Rfam family "Bacterial small subunit ribosomal RNA", at positions 524 to 776 of the family's 1533-position model. The record is from RNAcentral.